AUGCUUCACUGCCUCUCCUCCUCGGCGUCUGAUCACGUGCCCCUUCUCCUUGACUGCACCGCGCGCUCACCUGUCACCAAAAGGUUCCAUUUUGAGAGAUUAUGGCUGCGCACCGACGGCUACAUGCAGGUCGUGCUUGAGGCGUGGACUACCGGGACCGACGAGUCGAACCCUUUCCGCCGUUUGGUGGCGCGGCUUAAGACCACCGCCCGGCGCCUCCAAAGCCGGAGCGCGAAGAAGAUCGGCGAUGUGUCUCGGCAGCUCUUGAUUGCUCGCGAGCUGAUUGCGCGCUUUGAUGCAGCUCAGGACCUGCAACCACUCUCUCCGGCCGAGGCUUGGCUGCGUCAACGCCUCAAAGGGCCUAUCUUGGCCUCGCUUCGCUUGAGCGCUCGAUCUCGCGCCAGCGUGUCAGACUCUCCUGGCUGCGGGAUGGUGAUGCAGGCCAGAAGUUCUUUCGUGUGCAUGCCGCACACCACAAGAUGA
This 483-nucleotide ribosomal RNA is filed under the name Triticum aestivum (bread wheat). RNAcentral's name for it is "partial small subunit ribosomal RNA". The record is from RNAcentral. Lineage: Eukaryota; Viridiplantae; Streptophyta; Magnoliopsida; Poales; Poaceae.